CCUACGGGAGGCAGCAGUGAGGAAUAUUGGUCAAUGGGCUUACGCCUGAACCAGCCAAGUCGCGUGAGGGAAGACUGCCCUAUGGGUUGUAAACCUCUUUUGUCAGGGAGCAAUUGGCGCUACGUGUAGCGUUAUCGAGAGUACCUGAAGAAAAAGCAUCGGCUAACUCCGUGCCAGCAGCCGCGGUAAUACGGAGGAUGCGAGCGUUAUCCGGAUUUAUUGGGUUUAAAGGGUGCGUAGGCGGAAUGCCAAGUCAGCGGUAAAAUCGCGGGGCUCAACCUCGCUCCGCCGUUGAAACUGGCGCUCUUGAGUGGAAGAGAAGUAUGCGGAAUGCGUGGUGUAGCGGUGAAAUGCAUAGAUAUCACGCAGAACCCCGAUUGCGAAGGCAGCAUGCCGGCUUCCGACUGACGCUGAAGCACGAAAGCGUGGGGAUCGAACAGGAUUAGAUACCCGGGUAGUC
RNAcentral lists this ribosomal RNA (460 nucleotides) under uncultured bacterium. RNAcentral describes it as "partial 16S ribosomal RNA". It matches the Rfam family "Bacterial small subunit ribosomal RNA", at positions 338 to 795 of the family's 1533-position model. The record is from RNAcentral.